This is a non-coding RNA of Xylaria telfairii, 99 nucleotides long. Lineage: Eukaryota; Fungi; Ascomycota; Sordariomycetes; Xylariales; Xylariaceae. The record is from the annotation of a GenBank genome assembly.
GGUCCCAUAACUCAGUUGGUUAGAGUGUCGUACUAAUAUUAUGACUCUGUUAUAACAUUGGUAAUGCGAAAGUCGUGAGUUCAAGCCUCACUGGGACCA